CCGCGCGAAGGUAGCGUAAUCACUUGUUUUUUAAAUAAAGACUAGUAUGAAUGGCCCCACGAGGACUUAACUGUCUCCCUUGUCCAAUCAGUGAAACUGAUCUCCUCGUGCAGAAGCGAGGAUUUUCCCAUAAGACGAGAAGACCCUAUGGAGCUUCAAACUAAAAUCAACUAUUGUUCAUCUGCCCUCCAAGGACCCAAUAAAUAGCUAAAUAUGCUUGAUUUAAGUUUUAGGUUGGGGCGACCAUGGAGAAAAAGAAAUCCUCCCUGAUGACCACAAACUAAGAGCUACUACUCUAAGUAUUAAGACACUUAACUCUAAUUGACCCAUUUUAUGAUCAACGAACCAAGUUACCCUAGGGAUAACAGCGCAAUCCAUUUCAAGAGUCCUUAUCGACAAAUGGGUU
This 406-nucleotide ribosomal RNA is filed under the name Megophrys chuannanensis (Chuanan short-legged toad). RNAcentral's name for it is "partial 16S ribosomal RNA". It matches the Rfam family "Bacterial large subunit ribosomal RNA", at positions 1946 to 2518 of the family's 2925-position model. The record is from RNAcentral. Lineage: Eukaryota; Metazoa; Chordata; Amphibia; Anura; Megophryidae.